UUGGUAGUCAUUAUGCUUGUCUCAAAGAUUAAGCCAUGCAUGUCUAAGUAUAAGCAAUUAUACCGUGAAACUGCGAAUGGCUCAUUAAAUCAGUUAUCGUUUAUUUGAUAGUACCUUACUACUUGGAUAACCGUGGUAAUUCUAGAGCUAAUACAUGCUGAAAACCCCGACUUACGAAGGGGUGUAUUUAUUAGAUAAAAAACCAACGCCCUUCGGGGCUUCUUGGUGAUUCAUGAUAACUUUACGGAUCGCAUGGCCUUGCGCCGGCGACGGUUCAUUCAAAUUUCUGCCCUAUCAACUUUCGAUGGUAAGGUAUUGGCUUACCAUGGUUUCAACGGGUAACGGGGAAUGGGGCGGGGGCGGCGGGCCGGGCGCGGGGCGCGGCGGGCAA
Molecule: ribosomal RNA, 391 nt
Filed under: uncultured fungus
Lineage: Eukaryota; Fungi
Description: bacterial SSU rRNA
Rfam family: Eukaryotic small subunit ribosomal RNA
Source: RNAcentral